UGUUACAAUUGUUGCAUUACAAUUCCUAUCUAACUUUAUCCGCAACCAAAACACCCCCUAAGGCUGUUGCGCUACUCACAAUAGAGAACAAUCAGAACAAAACGGAUGAAAAAUCUUUAGUUUUUUCUCAAUAUCCAAGUACAGAAUGUGCUGCCUCCUAUAAGCUGUUAAAAACUACAAUAGCAGCAGAAACUCUGCAAUAAUUAAUUUUGAGGCCACAAG
Molecule: unclassified non-coding RNA, 222 nt
Filed under: Hevea brasiliensis (rubber tree)
Lineage: Eukaryota; Viridiplantae; Streptophyta; Magnoliopsida; Malpighiales; Euphorbiaceae
Source: RNAcentral